AUAGGAAUCAUUUGGGGAAACUUAUUAAAAUGCAAAUUCUGAUUCACUAUGUUUGUCUGAAUUCACUAUGUUUAUCUGUGCCCAAAAUUCUGCAUUUCUAAUCAGGUUCUGGGUGAUCUAGAU
RNAcentral lists this microRNA precursor (123 nucleotides) under Marmota monax (woodchuck). The record is from RNAcentral. Lineage: Eukaryota; Metazoa; Chordata; Mammalia; Rodentia; Sciuridae.